RNAcentral lists this ribosomal RNA (253 nucleotides) under uncultured bacterium. Its description in RNAcentral is "partial 16S ribosomal RNA". It matches the Rfam family "Bacterial small subunit ribosomal RNA", at positions 524 to 776 of the family's 1533-position model. The record is from RNAcentral.
UACGUAGGGUGCAAGCGUUGUCCGGAAUUAUUGGGCGUAAAGAGCUCGUAGGCGGUCUGUCGCGUCUGCUGUGAAAACUCAGGGCUUAACCCUGAGCUUGCAGUGGGCACGGGCAGACUAGAGUGCGGUAGGGGAGACUGGAAUUCCUGGUGUAGCGGUGGAAUGCGCAGAUAUCAGGAGGAACACCGGUGGCGAAGGCGGUUCUCUGGGCAUUACCUGACGCUGAGGAGCGAAAGUGUGGGGAGCGAACAGG